RNAcentral lists this ribosomal RNA (285 nucleotides) under Fibrobacter sp. UWR4. The record is from RNAcentral. Lineage: Bacteria; Pseudomonadati; Fibrobacterota; Fibrobacteria; Fibrobacterales; Fibrobacteraceae.
UUCAGCGGUUAUUGAGCAGGGGUCACACCCGUUCCCAUUCCGAACACGGCAGUUAAGCCCUGCAUCGCCGAUGGUACCUGGCCUACGGGUCCGGGAGAGUAGGUCGCCGCUGGAUUCACGGGCCCCUUGAGGAGUUAACCUCGAGGGGCCCUUUUCUUUUUGUAUUUUCCCCAUGGGCUUCGCGUUACGGCGUUGCUCGCCCCCUCGUGUACCGGAGUACACCACGGCGGCUCGCGCCUUGUCCCGCUCGUCCCUGGGAAAAAUACGGUACGUCGGGCGUAAUCG